UACGGGGGGGGCAAGCGUUGUUCGGAAUUACUGGGCGUAAAGGGCGUGUAGGUGGUUUCGUAAGUCUGGCGUGAAAUUUUUCGGCUUAACCGGGAAAGGUCGUCGGAUACUGCAGAACUAGAGGACGGUAGAGGCGUGUGGAAUUCCGGGUGUAGUGGUGAAAUGCGUAGAGAUCCGGAGGAACACCAGUGGCGAAGGCGACACGCUGGGCCGUACCUGACACUGAUGCGCGACAGCAUGGGGAGCAAACAGG
Molecule: ribosomal RNA, 253 nt
Filed under: uncultured bacterium
Lineage: Bacteria
Description: partial 16S ribosomal RNA
Rfam family: Bacterial small subunit ribosomal RNA
Source: RNAcentral